This 726-nucleotide long non-coding RNA is filed under the name Pan troglodytes (chimpanzee). RNAcentral's name for it is "lincRNA". The record is from RNAcentral. Lineage: Eukaryota; Metazoa; Chordata; Mammalia; Primates; Hominidae.
AGAUGGGGGACCGCCUGGAGAGACUGGGCUGGAGGCUUUUGGAUUGCCUCUCCAUUCCCACUUUCCCCUACUAGUCACAAUGCUUCCCAACUGCCUCUUGACUCUCUAGUACCCCGUUUCCCACCCACCUGUGCCCCCCCCCCCCGUGGCCCGCUACACCCCUCCCCCCGUGGAAGUCAGUCUCGGCAUUCCCGGGCAUCAUAGCAACAUGAGGGCGCCCCAGCCCGGAAGGGCCCAGGACCUCCCAGUGGGUUUCGGUCCCAGCAGCCCGGGCGCCACAGCAGUCUGACAGCGCCCCAUCCCAGAAGCUCACCUGCACCCCUGCUGUGGAAGAAAACCUACCUAUGGGGGUACUCCCUGGCAGCCCAUGAUGCCAUAGUAGCCUGAAAGUGCUCAAGCCCAGAAAACAAUAGUUACUUCUGUGAGAUGAAUGGAAACUAUGUUCCAAUGGGAUCCAAAAUGUCCCUUCAAAAAUUCUACAAAAAGACUGCUUCCAAUCUGCUUAAUCAGAACAAAGGUUUAACUCCAUGAGAUGCAUCCAAACAUUGCAAAGCAUUUUCACAUAUAGCUUUUUUCUAGUUUUUAUCACGGGAUAUUCGUUUUUUCACUAUAGCCCCAAUUAGCUCCAAAAUGUCCAUUCAUAGAUUUUACAAAAACAGUGUUUCUAACAUGCUGAAUGAAAACAAAGGUUUAACUCUGUGAUGUGAAUCCACGCAUUGGAAAGCG